Molecule: ribosomal RNA, 441 nt
Filed under: uncultured bacterium
Lineage: Bacteria
Description: partial 16S ribosomal RNA
Rfam family: Bacterial small subunit ribosomal RNA
Source: RNAcentral
CCUACGGGUGGCAGCAGUGGGGAAUAUUGCACAAUGGGGGAGACCCUGAUGCAGCAACGCCGCGUGAAGGAAGACGGUUUUCGGAUUGUAAACUUCUGUUCUUAGUGAAGAAUAAUGACGUUAGCUCCUGAUCAAGCCACGGCUAACUACGUACCAGCAGCCACGGUAAUACGUAGGUGGCACGCUUUGUCCGGAAUUACUGGGUGUAAAGGGAGCGCCGGCGGGAAGCGAAGUCAGCUGUGAAAACUACGGGCUUAACGUGUAGACUGCAGUUGAAACUGGUUUUCUUGAGUGAAGUAGAGGUGGGCGGAAUGCGGGGUGUAGCGGUGAAAUGCGUAGAUAUCAGGCGGAACACCGGUGGCGAAGGCGGCCAACUGGGCUUUAACUGACGCUGAGGCUCGAAAGUGUGGGGAGCAAACAGGAUUAGAUACCCGAGUAGUC